RNAcentral lists this unclassified non-coding RNA (178 nucleotides) under uncultured Cortinarius. Its description in RNAcentral is "sequence contains ITS2". Lineage: Eukaryota; Fungi; Basidiomycota; Agaricomycetes; Agaricales; Cortinariaceae. The record is from RNAcentral.
AUAUAUAUAUCAAACUUCUCUUGUUGAGUGGUUUGGAUGUGGGGGUUUGCUGGCUUGUUUCAGCUCCCCUGAAAUGCAUUAGCAGAACAACCCUGUUCAUUGGUGUGAUAACUAUCUACGCUAUUGAAUGUGAGGGGCAAGUUCAGCUUUCUAACAGUCCUUGGACAAUUCAUCAUUA